UCCAAGAUUAUUUCUGAUUUAGAAUUUCUUAAUUGGGGGAAUAUAAAAUAAUUUUACAUGAAGCUGCUGUAAAAGAUAUGAAAAUUUUCAUGGAACGAAAAUAAGCUAUACAGCUAAUUUCAAAGGGGGUCAUAGUCAUGAUGGAAACGACGUUAAAAGGAAAAAAAAAAUGUAAGAAGGAGACGUCAAAGAAAGGAUCUCUUUCCUCUCCGAGUGCCUAUAAGUAGCACAACUCACUCCGUCACAGAAAUCUUGCAUCAAACCAAAGUAUCUUGUCGUGUUUCUCUUUUCCUUCUCUUGUCGUGUCUUGUUUUGAGUCUCUCUCUCUCUCCCCCCCUGCUUCCAGUUCCAGUUCCAGGGAACCAGAAACCACUCAAGAGGAAGUAAAAACGACGACGAAGACGGAGAAAUUAACCUAGAAAGAGAAAUGGCAAUCAUGGAACAGAAGAUUAGCAAGAAG
Molecule: long non-coding RNA, 460 nt
Organism: Tarenaya hassleriana
Lineage: Eukaryota; Viridiplantae; Streptophyta; Magnoliopsida; Brassicales; Cleomaceae
Exons: 2
Source: RefSeq, a predicted model, not a curated record